RNAcentral lists this ribosomal RNA (667 nucleotides) under uncultured bacterium. Its description in RNAcentral is "bacterial SSU rRNA". It matches the Rfam family "Bacterial small subunit ribosomal RNA", at positions 66 to 722 of the family's 1533-position model. The record is from RNAcentral.
ACGGUAACAGGAAUCCGCUUGCUGAUUUGCUGACGAGUGGCGGACGGGUGAGUAAUGUCUGGGAAACUGCCUGAUGGAGGGGGAUAACUACUGGAAACGGUAGCUAAUACCACAUAACGUCGCAAGACCAAAGAGGGGGACCUUCGGGCCUCUUGCCAUCGGAUGUGCCCAGAUGGGAUUAGCUAGUAGGUGGGGUAACGGCUCACCUAGGCGACGAUCCCUAGCUGGUCUGAGAGGAUGACCAGCCACACUGGAACUGAGACACGGUCCAGACUCCUACGGGAGGCAGCAGUGGGGAAUAUUGCACAAUGGGCGCAAGCCUGAUGCAGCCAUGCCGCGUGUAUGAAGAAGGCCUUCGGGUUGUAAAGUACUUUCAGCGGGGAGGAAGGGAGUAAAGUUAAUACCUUUGCUCAUUGACGUUACCCGCAGAAGAAGCACCGGCUAACUCCGUGCCAGCAGCCGCGGUAAUACGGAGGGUGCAAGCGUUAAUCGGAAUUACUGGGCGUAAAGCGCACGCAGGCGGUUUGUUAAGUCAGAUGUGAAAUCCCCGGGCUCAACCUGGGAACUGCAUCUGAUACUGGCAAGCUUGAGUCUCGUAGAGGGGGGUAGAAUUCCAGGUGUAGCGGUGAAAUGCGUAGAGAUCUGGAGGAAUACCGGUGGCGAAGGC